RNAcentral lists this ribosomal RNA (400 nucleotides) under Acidimicrobiia bacterium. RNAcentral describes it as "partial 23S ribosomal RNA". It matches the Rfam family "Bacterial large subunit ribosomal RNA", at positions 2527 to 2925 of the family's 2925-position model. Lineage: Bacteria; Bacillati; Actinomycetota; Acidimicrobiia. The record is from RNAcentral.
CGAUGUCGGCUCAUCGCAUCCUGGGGCUGAAGCAGGUCCCAAGGGUUGGGCUGUUCGCCCAUUAAAGCGGUACGCGAGCUGGGUUUAGAACGUCGUGAGACAGUUCGGUCCCUAUCCUCUGCAGCCGUAGCUAGAUUGAGGAAAGCUGUCCCUAGUACGAGAGGACCGGGAUGGACGUAGCUCUAGUGUGCCAGUUGUCCCGCCAGGGGCAUGGCUGGUUUGCCACCUACGGAAGGGAUAACCGCUGAAAGCAUCUAAGUGGGAAGCCCUUUUCAAGAUGAAUCUAGCCACCGGGUUAACCGGGUAAGGCCCGUGGUAGACCACCACGUUGAUAGGCCGGAAGUGUACGCACAGCAAUGUGUUCAGCUGACCGGUACUAAUCGGCCGAGGGCUUGGUUGA